AGGUUCACUGUCCAGAUUUGGACUGAAAUUUGCACUUGGCUUGGCAUUCUUGACUCCUCACCAAUGAUUUGGCGUCAUGAAGACUCAGUUAAAGAUUGGUGGCUUAAGGCGGUUAGUGGGGGAGGUGACCACAGGAAGGCCACCGCCUCCUUGAUGAUGCUUGUCUCAUGGGAAAUUUGGAAGGAGCGCAACGCAAGAAUUUUUCAGAAUGUCUCCGCUCCGACCUCUAUUGUUAUCGCGAAAAUCAAGGAGGAGGCUCAUCUUUGGACUUUGGCAGGAGCGAAGCAGCUUAGUAUUGUUAUGUCACGAGAGUAG
Molecule: ribosomal RNA, 315 nt
Filed under: Triticum aestivum (bread wheat)
Lineage: Eukaryota; Viridiplantae; Streptophyta; Magnoliopsida; Poales; Poaceae
Description: partial small subunit ribosomal RNA
Source: RNAcentral